CAGAGGUUACUGCUAUCGAGGUUCGACUAAGCCAUGCGAGUCGAAUGUAGCAAUACAUGGCGAACUGCUCAGUAACACGUGGACAACCUGCCCUUAGGACGGGGAUAAACCCGGGAAACUGGGUAUAAUACCCGAUAGGUCUCGAUUGCUGGAAUGCAUCGAGAUUUAAAGCUCCGGCGCCUAAGGAUGGGUCUGCGGCCUAUCAGGUAGUAGUGGGUGUAGCGUACCUACUAGCCUACGACGGGUACGGGUUGUGAGAGCAAGAGCCCGGAGAUGGAUUCUGAGACACGAAUCCAGGCCCUACGGGGUGCAGCAGGCGCGAAAACUUUACAAUGCUGGCAACAGCGAUAAGGGAACCUCGAGUGCCAGGUUACAAAUCUGGCUGUCGAGAUGCCUAAAAAGCAUUUCAUAGCAAGGGCCGGGCAAGACCGGUGCCAGCCGCCGCGGUAACACCGGCGGCUCGAGUGGUAACCGUUAUUAUUGGGUCUAAAGGGUCUGUAGCCGGCCGGAUAAGUCUCUUGAGAAAUCUGGCAGCUUAACUGUCAGGCUUUCAGGAGAUACUGUCUGGCUCGAGGCCGGGAGAGGUGAGAGGUACUUCAGGGGUAGGGGUGAAAUCUUGUAAUCCUUGAAGGACCACCAGUGGCGAAGGCGUCUCACCAGAACGGACCUGACGGCAAGGGACGAAAGCUAGGGGCACGAACCGGAUUAGAUACCCGGGUAGUCCUAGCCGUAAACGAUACUCGCUAGGUGUCGGCCACGGUGCGACCGUUGUCGGUGCCGUAGGGAAGCCGUGAAGCGAGCCACCUGGGAAGUACGGCCGCAAGGCUGAAACUUAAAGGAAUUGGCGGGGGAGCACCACAACGGGUGGAGCUUGCGGUUU
RNAcentral lists this ribosomal RNA (880 nucleotides) under uncultured Methanosarcinales archaeon. RNAcentral describes it as "bacterial SSU rRNA". It matches the Rfam family "Archaeal small subunit ribosomal RNA", at positions 18 to 903 of the family's 1478-position model. The record is from RNAcentral. Lineage: Archaea; Methanobacteriati; Methanobacteriota; Methanomicrobia; Methanosarcinales.